GAUGAACGCUGGCGGCGUGCUUAACACAUGCAAGUCGAACGAAGCACCUCUCCCGAAGCUUGACACAGCUUGCUGUAGAUUGAUUCAUUUGAGGUGACUGAGUGGCGGACGGGUGAGUAACGCGUGGGUAACCUGCCUCAUAGAGGGGGACAACAGUUGGAAACGACUGCUAAUACCGCAUAGUAAGAAGAAUUCGCAAGUUUUCUUCUUGAAAGAUUUAUCGCUAUGAGAUGGACCCGCGUCUGAUUAGCUAGUUGGUAAGGUAACGGCUUACCAAGGCGACGAUCAGUAGCCGGCUUGAGAGAGUGAACGGCCACAUUGGGACUGAGACACGGCCCAAACUCCUACGGGAGGCAGCAGUGGGGAAUAUUGCACAAUGGGGGAAACCCUGAUGCAGCGACGCCGCGUGAGUGAAGAAGUAUUUCGGUAUGUAAAGCUCUAUCAGCAGGGAAGAUAAUGACGGUACCUGACUAAGAAGCCCCGGCUAACUACGUG
This 495-nucleotide ribosomal RNA is filed under the name uncultured bacterium. RNAcentral describes it as "partial 16S ribosomal RNA". It matches the Rfam family "Bacterial small subunit ribosomal RNA", at positions 28 to 507 of the family's 1533-position model. The record is from RNAcentral.